This is a long non-coding RNA of Hypanus sabinus (Atlantic stingray), 1572 nucleotides long. RefSeq lists it as uncharacterized. The record is from RefSeq and is a predicted model, not a curated record. The transcript has 4 exons. Lineage: Eukaryota; Metazoa; Chordata; Chondrichthyes; Myliobatiformes; Dasyatidae.
GUUCCCUGCUUCCACCUUCCCUCUCAUUUCUUAUCCUCUGAUUAAUCCACGUCAGGGUGGAGUUCUGACUUACUUUCUAAAAAAAACCAUGAAUGAUCUGAGAAGGUUUAUUCUUUCUAGCCACUAACCAUGCCCCUGCCCUAAAAGGGAGGAGGGAGGAGUUUUGGGAGGCUGCCCUUUUUAAAACAGUCAUUUUUUUUCCCUUUCAGAAGUUGAAAGCAGAGUUGACCACCAGAUGGGAUGUUGUAGCUAUGAAGUAAUGAUGUCGAAAUAUGUUCCUGUUGAACUCGAGUCGUCUGGAGGGGAAGACCAGCUUGAUUUUGGUCAAUGGGAAUGAAUAGAAGAUCUCUCAGAUUAUGACCGCCCUGAAUAAAUUAAGAAUACCUCCUGUGCCAAGGCAAAAAGCAUCAUACGGUGUUCUGGCUAAUUAGAGCGGACGUGGGUUUUCCAGAAAUUUUACACUUCAAGGAAGUAUUCUGCCACACAAUAUCUAUACAAUCUGAGAACAGAUCUUCAGUCUGAUGUGAAACUUGGAACUACACAUUGCACAGCGAUAGGUCUUGGAGAAACGGAAGGGAUCCAGGAGUCUGAGCAAUGGCACGUGAUGAUCAGGUGGUUGAGUGCGGCCAGAGAAGCAAGGAUUGGCACAACACAGAUUCGAGGUGAGCAUCAGUGAUUGAUAGGCAGAUGCAGCUGUGCACCCGGAGAAAGAAGGAUGGGACGACUUCUUGAUAUUUUAUUUAGAAAUGCAGCACGGUAACAGGCUCUCCCGGCCCAGUGAGGUUGUGCUGCCCAAGUACACCCACAUGUGCAAUGAACCUACUAGCUCUCUGUGUCUUUGGAAAGUGGGAGGAAACCAGAGCACCCUGAGGAAAUCUACAUGGUCAUGGGUGAACAUGCAAACUCCUUGCGGACAGUGGCAAGAAUGGAACGUAGAGCUCUGGCACUGCAAAGUGUUAUGCUGACUGCUACACUACUGUGCUGCCCCAGACUGAACUGUAAGAGGAAUAACAAGUCAGACAUGUUUGAGGUGUGCACAUUAGAGAGUUUUGCGUGACUCACACAGCAGGAUGUAGCUAGCCUCAGUACUUUCCUUUCCUGCUCUGCUUACAUUGAAAAACACUUACACCAUUAAAUCAAUGAGAGUACCGCCAUCCUUCUGCUACUGACGUCACCGUCAGCCUCUAACCACAACUUCUUUAUUUCACUGCCAAACCUUCCUGAGUGUCUCCACAGAUUCCAACACCAUCACUAAAGUGCGCAGACGUUGAACAUUCCGGUUUUGUUCUGUCAAAUCUUUAUGCUGUGCUCCAAAAUCCAGCAGAUUGAAUUUUGGGAUUGCCCUUUAACUUGCUUCACAGAGUCCCUUGUUGAUUGGUCAAAGGACUGAGAUAGAAAGACACUGACAUUCAGGUCGCAACCUUUUCAGGAUUUCCUUCACACGUACACCCCGCUUUCAGCACAUCAAGAGCUCUAGUCCCUGUUGUUAAUUUUUAAAAUCCAACCGUUAUUGCAGUAAAAUGAUGCAUACUGUUUUCUGUAAAUUUUUCAAUGGAUCAUUCAAGUCUCUGG